GGGGUCCAACUCCAGCAGGUCCAGGGGUCCCCAAAGGUGUGGACGGAGUCGGCGAAGAAGGAAUGACACGGAGACAGCGUUCAGUUGAUCAGCAGCCUAGCCAGGAUCUCUAGCCAGGAUCUCCAGCCAAGUUCUGGUCUGGAUCUCCAGUGAAGUUCUGGUCUGGAUCUCCAGCGAAGUUCUGGUUAGGAUCUCCAGCCAGGUUCUGUGUCCAUGUUCUCUUGCUAGGUUCUCCAGCCAGGUUCUCCAGGUUCUCCAGGCAGGUUCUGUCUGAGAUCUCUAGCCAGGUUCUAUCCAGAUUCUCCUGCCAUGUUCUGUCUAGGUUCUCCAGCCAAGUUCUAUAGCCAGGUUCAGUCCAGGAUCUUUUGCCAUGUUCUCUCGCUAGGUUCUGUCUCUAGGUUCUGUCUUCUGUUGUCUUGUUACAUCUGUAUUUAUACCAUUGAUUUUAAUCCUGUCAAUUUCUAUUGCAAAGGUUAGGGCGUUUCUUAUCUCCAUUCCAGGGAGUAAAGAUUAUGUAGCUUAAGCAUGAUUGUUUGUAGUUAAAGUGAUUAACUACCCGCCUGGCACUUAGUUAAGGAGUUUUAUCCCCUCCCUGACUUCAGGGAAAAAUCCCUAUCUGGGGAAACAACCUUUCUCGGAGAGGUGACCUUGGUUAAAACACACAGCGCUAAGGGGAGCAAACAUAUUAAGAACAGUAUGCUAUAUAUGCCAGGUCCCUUGAAACAUAUGCUGUGCAGAUGUUUCUUUCCUGCAGCGACUGUGUCAAGCAGCAAGGAUGGACCGGCUUCC
Molecule: long non-coding RNA, 789 nt
Organism: Myotis daubentonii (Daubenton's bat)
Lineage: Eukaryota; Metazoa; Chordata; Mammalia; Chiroptera; Vespertilionidae
Source: RefSeq, a predicted model, not a curated record